Molecule: transfer RNA, 87 nt
Filed under: Termitomyces sp. T159_Od127
Lineage: Eukaryota; Fungi; Basidiomycota; Agaricomycetes; Agaricales; Lyophyllaceae
Description: tRNA-Lys
Rfam family: tRNA
About the family: Transfer RNA (tRNA) molecules are approximately 80 nucleotides in length.
Source: RNAcentral
GCCCGCCUAGCUCAAUCGGAUAGAGCGUCAGACUCUUACCUAGGUAGCGGCAUCUGAAGGCUGCGAGUUCGACCCUCGCGGUGGGCU